RNAcentral lists this ribosomal RNA (373 nucleotides) under uncultured bacterium. RNAcentral describes it as "bacterial SSU rRNA". It matches the Rfam family "Bacterial small subunit ribosomal RNA", at positions 525 to 896 of the family's 1533-position model. The record is from RNAcentral.
ACGAAGGGUGCAAGCGUUAAUCGGAAUUACUGGGCGUAAAGCGUGCGUAGAUGGUUCGAUCAGUCGGAUGUGAAAGCCCCGGGCUCAACCUGGGAACUGCAUCCGAUACUGUCGGACUAGAGUGUGAUAGAGGAUGGCGGAAUUCCCGGUGUAGCGGUGAAAUGCGUAGAGAUCGGGAGGAACAUCCGUGGCGAAGGCGGCCAUCUGGAUCAACACUGACGUUGAGGCACGAAAGCGUGGGGAGCAAACAGGAUUAGAUACCCUGGUAGUCCACGCCCUAAACGAUGUCGACUGGAUGUUGGGUGCAAUUUGGCACUCAGUAUCGAAGCUAACGCGUUAAGUCGACCGCCUGGGGAGUACGCGCGCAAGCGUG